CGCGCAGGUGGUUUCCUAAGUCUGAUGUGAAAGCCCACGGCUCAACCGUGGAGGGUCAUUGGAAACUGGGAGACUUGAGUGCAGAAGAGGAUAGUGGAAUUCCAAGUGUAGCGGUGAAAUGCGUAGAGAUUUGGAGGAACACCAGUGGCGAAGGCGACUGUCUGGUCUGUAACUGACACUGAGGCGCGAAAGCGUGGGAGCAAACA
RNAcentral lists this ribosomal RNA (206 nucleotides) under uncultured bacterium. RNAcentral describes it as "partial 16S ribosomal RNA". It matches the Rfam family "Bacterial small subunit ribosomal RNA", at positions 568 to 774 of the family's 1533-position model. The record is from RNAcentral.